AUUGAACGCUGGCGGCAGGCCUAACACAUGCAAGUCGAACGGUAACAGGGAUCAGCUUGCUGAUUCGCUGACGAGUGGCGGACGGGUGAGUAAUGUCUGGGAAACUGCCUGAUGGAGGGGGAUAACUACUGGAAACGGUAGCUAAUACCGCAUAACGUCGCAAGACCAAAGAGGGGGACCUUCGGGCCUCUUGCCAUCGGAUGCGCCCAGAUGGGAUUAGAUUGUAGGUGGGGUAACGGCUCACCUAGGCGACGAUCCCUAGCUGGUCUGAGAGGAUGACCAGCCACACUGGAACUGAGACACGGUCCAGACUCCUACGGGAGGCAGCAGUGGGGAAUAUUGCACAAUGGGCGCAAGCCUGAUGCAGCCAUGCCGCGUGUAUGAAGAAGGCCUUCGGGUUGUAAAGUACGUUCAGCGGGGAGGAAGGGAGUAAAGUUAAUACCUUUGCUCAUUGACGUUACCCGCAGAAGAAGCACCGGCUAACUCCGUG
Molecule: ribosomal RNA, 490 nt
Filed under: uncultured bacterium
Lineage: Bacteria
Description: partial 16S ribosomal RNA
Rfam family: Bacterial small subunit ribosomal RNA
Source: RNAcentral